GCUUGACAACCGCCGUGUUUCAAUAUAAGGUGGCGUUCUUAUUGCUUUGUUUUGGUGGAGUUAUUCAGCUUUUCUUCUCUUACAGGAUGACAUGCCUUAUGCGAGUGUAUUACGAAUCCACGAAACGUGGCUUGAUGGUUAUGCGGGACCUUUGGUCCUAAUGUAGGAGGCACAGCCAACGAUAGGUGAAAAAUAAGCAGGGACGAGUCAUCGUCCAGGUAACCGUGAAAAAGUUAUCAGCUCUGGAAUCUAAUUUUGUGGAUGCUGUUGUGUGUGCAGUGGCAUACAAAUAUAUUCCAGGUUUACUGAGAUUGAUAUAUGAUGAAGAAAAACGAGACAGAUGCUCACUCAGGCCAGUGUGGAGCCCCUAGUGCGACGAUCCAUGGUCGAGGUCGACUUACAACGCGUUGAAACGAGCCAGUUCUACACU
Molecule: long non-coding RNA, 430 nt
Filed under: Selaginella moellendorffii
Lineage: Eukaryota; Viridiplantae; Streptophyta; Lycopodiopsida; Selaginellales; Selaginellaceae
Description: long non-coding RNA (SMOE_LNC001778)
Source: RNAcentral